AGUGGCGGACGGGCGAGUAACGCGUGAGCAACCUGCCCUAUGCAGGGGGAUAACACCGGGAAACCGGUGCUAAUACCGCAUAAGACCACACUACCGCAUGGUAGAGUGGUAAAAGCUGAGGCGGCAUAGGAUGGGCUCGCGUCCAAUUAGCUAGUUGGUAGGGUAACGGCCUACCAAGGCGACGAUUGGUAGCCGAACUGAGAGGUUGGUCGGCCGCAUUGGGACUGAGACACGGCCCAGACUCCUACGGGAGGCAGCAGUGGGGAAUAUUGCGCAAUGGGGGAAACCCUGACGCAGCGACGCCGCGUGAAGGAAGAAGGCCUUCGGGUUGUAAACUUCUUUGAUCGGGGACGAAGAUGACGGUACCCGAGGAACAAGCCACGGCUAACUACGCGCCAGCAGCCGCGGUAAUACGUAGGUGGCAAGCGUUGUCCGGAAUUGCUGGGUGUAAAGGGCGUGUAGGCGGGGAUGCAAGUCAGAUGUGAAAUUCCGGGGCUUAACUCCGGGUAUGCACCUGAAACUGUCGUUCUUGAGUGAAGAAGAGGAAAGCGGAAUU
RNAcentral lists this ribosomal RNA (556 nucleotides) under uncultured Clostridium sp. Its description in RNAcentral is "bacterial SSU rRNA". It matches the Rfam family "Bacterial small subunit ribosomal RNA", at positions 94 to 668 of the family's 1533-position model. The record is from RNAcentral. Lineage: Bacteria; Bacillati; Bacillota; Clostridia; Eubacteriales; Clostridiaceae.